This is a non-coding RNA of Caenorhabditis elegans, 21 nucleotides long. The record is from Ensembl. Lineage: Eukaryota; Metazoa; Nematoda; Chromadorea; Rhabditida; Rhabditidae.
UUAUUGUGGAAAAGAAAAACA